CUGAUCGGCCACAUUGGGACUGAGACACGGCCCAAACUCCUACGGGAGGCAGCAGUAGNGAAUCUUCCACAAUGGNACG
RNAcentral lists this ribosomal RNA (79 nucleotides) under uncultured bacterium. Its description in RNAcentral is "partial 16S ribosomal RNA". It matches the Rfam family "Bacterial small subunit ribosomal RNA", at positions 300 to 378 of the family's 1533-position model. The record is from RNAcentral.